CAACAUAUUAAAUUUUUUGUUUGAAAUAACAUAUUCUGUAAACUUUAUGGAUGGCAUCACGUAACUAUGAGAAAGAAGAGUAAUACAGUUGUAAUCAAAAUUAUUCAACCCCCAUUGAAAAUCAGGUUUAUUGUCAAAAUUUACAGACAUUCAACUGGUUGCAAUUUAAAUAGCUGAACACAACAAAUGCUUCAAGUUUUGCAAUCAACAAGAUAUAAGCAGAAAGUGUCUGAGUGGGCAUUUUUGUGUCUGUCACCAAUGAAAUGUAAUAAAAAAAAAAUAAGAAAUUAUCCCAAGGCACACUACGGUUUUGCACAUAAAAAGAGUAUUUAUUCAUGCAUAGAAAAUACAACAAGGCAUCAUUAUAGCAGAGAGAAAGUGCAUAGUAUAGUGCUAAACCAGUAUAUCGUACCAAAACCACAAUGUAAGUAAAGUGCUAAAUGCAAAAACCCAUUAAAAAAGGUAUAUACCAAGAGCAGGAGAAUUGAAACCCCAACAUUUCGGCUGUGAAGCCUUCCUCUAGGGGACCUCUCAUAAACACACCAGACAUACACAUACACUGACACAAACACACACAUACACUAACAGACAUACAUACACACACUAACAGACACACAUACACUAACAAACAUACGUACACACACACACACACACUAAAAGACAUACAUACACACACACACACACUAACAGACACACAUACACACAUAUACACUAACAGACAUACACACAAACACAUACACUAACAGACAUACAUACAAAUUAUUAUUAUUAUAAUUAACAUUUGCCACCCACCCAGUCUCCCUACAUUUUGGGAAAGCUGGCAUGGAUGGGACCCUGGGGUCUAGUGGGGCUGCAGUGAGGCAGGCGGUUGUUCUAAUCAGAAGCGGCGAGGGAGCUGUGUUCUCCCAGCUCUGCUCGCUCACGGGCUGUCUACUGAUGCAGGAGCCGGAAUAUGACCUCAUAUCAGCAAACGGCGUGCGAGGGUGCAGAGCUGGGAGAACUCAGCUCCCUCGCCACGUGUGUCAGGUAGACAGGCACCCGCCAGGGGGUGUCCAUUAGGUGGUCUAUCAGGUGCCCCCCCCCCCCAUGACAGAGGGAAGACGGGGGCAUUUGGGGACGGCAUUUUUUGUUAGUGCCUGCAGGAGCAACAGGAAGGGCGUUCCUGCUGUGAAAAAAGGUGCAGGAACGCCGUUCCCACGCAUUCCUGCAGGACUCGAGCCCUGAUGACAAUGUUUGGUGUGUGCCAGUGUUAAUUUUGUCAACUAACAAUUUAGUCAAAACUAAAACUAAAACAAUUCAAAUUACUAAAAUACGAUUAAACCUAAAAUGGCUUUUCAGUCAAAAGACUAUGACUAAAACUAAAUUAAAAUUUGCAGCCAAAAUUAACACUGCACAGAGGAGUUGUGGAAGGGGCAGAAGAGGCUUGGGAGAGAAACACCUAGAGGGUCUGGGAGGACACAGAGGGGCUGGGGAAAGGGCAAAAGAGAUAAAUAGAGGCUUUAACUAAGGAGAGUUAGUCGACUAAAAUCUACUGAAGAUUUAGUCAACUAAAACAAUUCAGAUUUGUAAAAUACGACUAAAACUAAAAGGGCUUUUCAGUUAAAAAACAAUGACUAAAACCAAAUUUAAAUUUUCUUUCGAAAUUAAGACUGGUGAGCAUACCUUAAGAUGGUAACAUUGUUGGUGUGAGCUCCUUCUUGUUGUAAAGUCAGCAAUCCCAGAAGGAAAUAAUAGAGUGACAAGUAUAACUGAAUGUUAUAGGAGGAUUAUUGCUCACUUCUACCACGGUGUGAAUGCUAGCCAACUCUUGAGGCAGGAGCAAGAGAAGGCAUCUCUUACCACACACUGUCUAUGACAAGAUAUAAGUACAGGUGGAACUCUACUUUGGAGAUGCUAGAGAGACUUUUAGAGCAGAAGUGGACAAUCCAUAAUCUUGGUAUUGUGUCUCCACUGGGUAGAGUGAAGGAUAGCUAGUGGCAGUCCUAAAACCUUUUAGGGAUGCUACUUAAAACCUGAGCCACAACACCAAUCUGGGACAGGUUAUCCCUAUGUUUAUACAUCUAGUGAGCUAGAUGGAUAUCCUCUUUGAAAACCCUCCUUCUGGCUGCAUCAGUGGUGUGGCAAUGUCUGCUACAUCCUGGUCAAGCUGAUAAGGACUAAUUUGUGUAUUUUUUUUUCUUCUUUUCCACUAUUUCCCAAAUCGACUCCAAGGUGGUUCCGCUUGUAUGCAUUUUUGCUUAAUUGCUUUGUAAUUUUGAGGAAUAUGGAGGUGUAGCCAAGUUGUGCCAUUUACAAGUUAUUUGAGUGUCACCUUAUAUUUAACACGCUGGUCAUUGUUUGUGAGUGAGCUGCAUAUAAUUUAUAUUUUUAUAUUUCGUCUCCUUUUACAUAUAUUGGAGAUCUUUAUAAUAUUCCUAUGCAAUAUUUCUCUACGUUGUACAUUCAGUGUGCUUCACGUUUUAAACGGGUGUGAUAUAUUGUUUUUCUUUUAGCACAAAGUAAUAUUAAUUUUCUCUAUUUCAAAAGAUAUAUUUAUAUUUUAUGACAUAAGUCAAAACAAACAGAGCACAAGAAAAAAGCCAAAAGAGAAAAAAAGAAAAUACAAAAUUGCAUGUACACAAAAGGAAACAAAUACAUCCAAUACCAGUUCACACCGUCUCUGAGGAAGGGGGUUGAGCUUAACAAACCU
This 2689-nucleotide long non-coding RNA is filed under the name Pelobates cultripes (western spadefoot toad). Lineage: Eukaryota; Metazoa; Chordata; Amphibia; Anura; Pelobatidae. The record is from RNAcentral.